UAUCAAUAAGCGGAGGAAAAGAAACCAACAGGGAUUGCCCCAGUAACGGCGAGUGAAGCGGCAACAGCUCAAAUUUGAAAUCUGGCCCCCCCCGCGGGGCCCGAGUUGUAAUUUGCAGAGGAUGCUUUUGGCGCGGCGCCUUCCGAGUUCCCUGGAACGGGACGCCAUAGAGGGUGAGAGCCCCGUCUGGUCGGACGCCCAGCCUCUGUAAAGCUCCUUCGACGAGUCGAGUAGUUUGGGAAUGCUGCUCUAAAUGGGAGGUAUAUGUCUUCUAAAGCUAAAUAUUGGCCAGAGACCGAUAGCGCACAAGUAGAGUGAUCGAAAGAUGAAAAGCACUUUGAAAAGAGGGUUAAACAGUACGUGAAAUUGUUGAAAGGGAAGCGCUUGUGACCAGACUUGGGCGCGGCGAAUCAUCCGGCGUUCUCGCCGGUGCACUUCGACGCGCCCGGGCCAGCAUCAGUUCGCGGCGGGGGAUAAAGGCGCCGGGAACGUGGCUCCCCCGGGAGUGUUAUAGCCCGGCGCGCAAUGCCCCGCGGCGGACUGAGGUUCGCGCAUCCGCAAGGAUGCUGGCGUAAUGGUCACCAGUGACCCGUCUUGAAACACGGACCAAGGAGUCGUCCUCGUAUGCGAGUGUUCGGGUGUCAAACCCCUACGCGCAAUGAAAGUGAACGCAGGUGAGAGCCUCACGGCGCAUCAUCGACCGAUCCUGAUGUUCUCGGAUGGAUUUGAGUAAGAGCAUACGGGGCCGGACCCGAAAGAAGGUGAACUAUGCCUGUGUAGGGUGAAGCCAGAGGAAACUCUGGUGGAGGCUCGCAGCGGUUCUGACGUGCAAAUCGAUCGUCAAACAUGGGCAUGGGGGCGAAAGACUAAUCGAACCUUCUAGUAGCUGGUUCCGC
Molecule: ribosomal RNA, 896 nt
Filed under: Ophiocordyceps macroacicularis
Lineage: Eukaryota; Fungi; Ascomycota; Sordariomycetes; Hypocreales; Ophiocordycipitaceae
Description: eukaryotic LSU rRNA
Rfam family: Eukaryotic large subunit ribosomal RNA
Source: RNAcentral